CAGUCGCCGCGGUAAUACAGAGGGUGCGAGCGUUAAUCGGAUUUACUGGGCGUAAAGCGUGCGUAGGCUGCUUCUUAAGUCGGAUGUGAAAUCCCUGAGCUUAACUUAGGAAUUGCAUUCGAUACUGGGAAGCUAGAGUAUGGGAGAGGAUGGUAGAAUUCCAGGUGUAGCGGUGAAAUGCGUAGAGAUCUGGAGGAAUACCGAUGGCGAAGGCAGCCAUCUGGCCUAAUACUGACGCUGAGGUACGAAAGCAUGGGGAGCAAACAGGAUUAGAUACCCCCGUAGUCCCUGUCUCUUAUAC
RNAcentral lists this ribosomal RNA (301 nucleotides) under uncultured bacterium. RNAcentral's name for it is "partial 16S ribosomal RNA". It matches the Rfam family "Bacterial small subunit ribosomal RNA", at positions 509 to 807 of the family's 1533-position model. The record is from RNAcentral.